RNAcentral lists this ribosomal RNA (253 nucleotides) under uncultured bacterium. RNAcentral's name for it is "partial 16S ribosomal RNA". It matches the Rfam family "Bacterial small subunit ribosomal RNA", at positions 524 to 776 of the family's 1533-position model. The record is from RNAcentral.
UACGAGGGGGGCGAGCGUUGUUCGGAAUUAUUGGGCGUAAAGGGUGCGUAGGCGGUUUGGUAAGUCUCGUGUGAAAUCUACAGGCUCAACUUGUAGUCUGCACGAGAAACUGCCGGGCUUGAGUGUGGGAGAGGCGAGUGGAAUUCCCGGUGUAGCGGUGAAAUGCGCAGAUAUCAGGAGGAACACCGGUGGCGAAGGCGGGUCUCUGGGCCGAUACUGACGCUGAGGAGCGAAAGCGUGGGGAGCGAACAGG